UACGGGGGGAGCAAGCGUUGUUCGGAUUUACUGGGCGUAAAGCGCGUGUAGGCGGCAAGCCAAGUCGGGUGUGAAAGCCCUGGGCUCAACCCAGGAAGUGCAUUCGAUACUGGCAAGCUAGAGUCCCGGAGAGGAUGGUGGAACUCUCGGUGUAGAGGUGAAAUGCGCAGAUAUCGGGAAGAACACCCGUGGCGAAGGCGGCUCUCUGGGACGGUACCGACGCUGAGACGCGAAAGCCAGGGGAGCAAACGGG
This 253-nucleotide ribosomal RNA is filed under the name uncultured bacterium. RNAcentral's name for it is "partial 16S ribosomal RNA". It matches the Rfam family "Bacterial small subunit ribosomal RNA", at positions 524 to 776 of the family's 1533-position model. The record is from RNAcentral.